This 1735-nucleotide ribosomal RNA is filed under the name Acidobacteriota bacterium. RNAcentral describes it as "bacterial LSU rRNA". It matches the Rfam family "Bacterial large subunit ribosomal RNA", at positions 1119 to 2205 of the family's 2925-position model. Lineage: Bacteria; Pseudomonadati; Acidobacteriota. The record is from RNAcentral.
UCCUUUAAAGAAAGCGUAACAGCUCACUGGUCAAGCGGAUAUGCACCAACAAUCCAACGGGGCUCAAGCACACGACCGAAGCUGCGAAAUGACAUUUCUUCGGAAAUGUCUUUGGUAGGGGAGCAUUGUGUGUGGUCUUAAGGCAGACCGAGAGGACUGCUGAACUCCACACAAGAGACCCUGCCGGCAUAAGUAGCGAUAAACACGAUGAGAACUCGUGUCGCCGAAAGUCUAAGGUUUCCUGAGGAAGGUUAAUCCGCUCAGGGUUAGGCGGGUCCUAAGGUGAGGCCGAAAGGCGUAGCUGAUGGACAACAGGUCAACAUUCCUGUCCCGCCUGGCGACGUUAACACGAUGGGGUGACGCAGAAGGAUAGGAGAUCCACCCGAUGGACGUGGUGGUUGGCGAGUGUAAGCCGGAUCCCGGAGGAAAAUCCCCGGGGUCAUUCAACGGUGAGACUCGACACGUGGCCGUAUGGCCAGGAAGUCUCUGAUUCCACGCUGCCGGGAAAAACCUCUAAGGAGUCCGCCAGGCGCCCGUACCACAAACCGACACAGGUAGACAAGGUGAAUAUCCACAGGCGCUCGAGAGAACGCUCGCUCAGGAACUAGGCACAUUAGCCCCGUAACUUCGGGAGAAGGGGCACCGCACUAGGGUUUAUAGCCCGAAGCGGUCGCAGUGAAAUGCGCUCUGCAACUGUUUAACAAAAACACAGCUCUCUGCAAAGUCGAAUACGACGUAUAGGGGGUGACACCUGCCCGGUGCCGGAAGGUUAAAGCAAGGGCUCAGCCGCAAGGCGAAGGCCUGAACUGAAGCCCCGGUGAACGGCGGCCGUAACUAUAACGGUCCUAAGGUUAACGAUCGCGCAGCCUUAGUAAAACUGAACCAUAUGCGGGAAACUCCUCGCACAGCAGUCCGGUACUCGUCGCGGUCACACGCGGCAGUCAAAAUCCGGCUGACAUGGGGACAAUCCGCAGGGAAGACUCCAGGAGAAGAAAAUGGAGAACCCUCAGAGACUUGACGUUCAGUCGCAUCCUGAGAAGCUACAGGCUCAAUGGGUAGUGGGGUUUGUUGAUGGCGAAGGUUGUUUUUAUGUCGGCAUCAACCCACAUCCAGAAAUACCUUGCCAAUACCAAGUGCUCCCCGAAUUCACGGUCGUUCAGCACCGACGUGAUGUUCAACUGCUUCACGCGCUGAAGAAAUUCUUCGGUUGCGGUGUAGUGAGACAAAAUCACGGAGAUCGCAUGGCCUAUCGUGUCCGGGGGCUGAAUCACCUCAACGAAAGGAUUGUUCCUUUCUUCGAAAAGCAUACCCUGAAAUCGAAGAAGAGGGUCGACUUCGCGAGGUUCCGAAAGAUUCUGCACCUGAUAAAUCAGGGAAAACACUUGAAAGCGGAAGGCAUUGAAGAAAUACGGGCCAUAGCUUCAGUUAUGAACACAGGCAGCGAAAGGGAAAGUCCGGCUUCUCUGGAAACAGAGUAGGGGAAACCGAGCGAAAUUCCUUGUCGGGUAAGUUCCGACCUGCACGAAUGGUGGAAUGAUAGAGCGACUGUCUUGGCGAACGGCUCGGCGAAUUUGUGGUUCCGGUGAAGACGCCGGAUGCCCGCAUCUAGACGGAAAGACCCCGUGCACCUUUACUGCACUCUGGUCAUGAGUAACGGAAUAGUCUGCGUAGCAUAGGCAGGAGCCUGUGAACCUCUGGUCUCGGCUGGAGGGGAGGCAACAGUGAAAUACUGCCC